AGGCCAGGCUUAUGAAGGGUCCCGACCCGAAAUGUCAGCUUUCCUGUUCCUCUGAUGCUGCCUGGCCUGCUGUAUUCCUCCAGCUCCACACUGUGUUAUCAGUAAUUCCUUGAAUGUCUUUUGCCUUAAUGGAGAGCAUCUUUCCAUAACCUGAAGACUAGAAAGAUAGAAAAAUGGACUGUCUCACUGGAUUGCCACUGGGUUCAAUAAUGUGAGCUGCAUAAAGGGUGGAAGAGGACAGGCUGCUAUCCGAGCAAAAUGUUGACCUCUUUGAUUGUGGCAUGCACGCAGUACAUCUCAUGUCACAAUGGAAAGAAAAGGGGGUGGAUUCAACAUAGACUGUUACAGAAGGAACCAUGGUGGCCAGGCCCACUGGACAGAUGAUACAGUCGGCUCCCAGUGAUAGGAAAACCUCCCCCAGUCAAGCUGGAAGGCAAAAGGUGUUGGCACAGAAUUCCCAUUGGCAGGAUGUCAGUUAGGCUCAUUAAUGAGCCAAUUAACAUCCUUCUACUUGAACCCAUCAAAAUGUAGUGGUGGUUUAAGGAUUAAAUGGAAGCUAUACAGUUUCCAUGCAUCUCAGAAAGGCCAUCAGCAAAGCAAGGGGGGCUGUGGGGUGGGAGGGUGCAGGUAAGGAGGGGAGUAGGGGCCUUGUUAUUUGGCCUGAUUGAGGGAUCCAAUCUUGCAAUGGCAGCGUAUACUGAAUUAGUCUCCUCCAUGUACUUGCCAAUCCAACUUCCCGCUUUACACCUCUCCCCAUGGUCCUUACUCUGCCCAGAGGAACGAACCAGUCAUACUUAGGAACGAACGUACUGAUCAUACUGGGGCUCCAUUUUCAGUUAUACAGGAUGCAUCAGGCCAAUUUAUGUCUUUUGCAAGUUUUACUGGUUUUCCAUUCUGGGUGUAAGCCCCAUCCUGCCCUCAAUUACCUGUAGCUUCGGUCCUUCACUGGUCCUGGACCUCUGGUGAAUACACUGCACCCCACCCCCCACUUCAUUGAAAUGCUCAGUGGGUGGGACUUCUGUUGUCUGGUCUGAAACCAAAUGCCCACAGGGCACUUACUCCCAAGGUGUCCCCCGUGAAACUGAUAGGGGUUUCCCUACCAAUGUUCCAAAUAGCAGGCAAGCCCUUCAACUCCACUAAGUCCGACCCAAAACUGCAGUCAACCUCAAUCCUAUAUAGACCUGCUUGAUACAGAGAAAAUUCACAGUAAUCCUUGGCUAAGGUUUAUUUGACUCCAUCAAUGAUUUAGUGCAGAGAGCAAUGGCAGUAUUGCUUGCCCCUCACUUACCAAAAACAAACGUCUUCCAUGGAAUUUUCUUGGCCAAUACAGUUCUAAGAGUUACUUCUUUUUUCUCUUCUUCAACAAGUUCUUCUAGAAAUCCAUUUCUAAAAGCAAGUUGAAAAUAUUGUAUCAUUCGUUAUUUGACUAAUAAUCAUAAUUGGAAAAAGAAAACACAGCUUUUAAAUAGUAAUAAAUAUGAUGAUAAACCUCGGUGACAAACAAAUAUUGUAACUUAAAGGUCAGAAAAAAAACUCAGAAUGAGAAAAUGCAACUUAUGAAACCCAUUUCAUUUGGAACCCAAACGGCAUCGACUUGUUGAUGUACAGACUCAACAUUUCUUAUUGGUUAAAACGAAUUGAGCAAUAACAAUAGCCUACCUAACAAAA
Rhincodon typus (whale shark) is the source of this 1668-nucleotide long non-coding RNA. RefSeq lists it as uncharacterized. The transcript has 2 exons. The record is from RefSeq and is a predicted model, not a curated record. Lineage: Eukaryota; Metazoa; Chordata; Chondrichthyes; Orectolobiformes; Rhincodontidae.